This 254-nucleotide ribosomal RNA is filed under the name uncultured bacterium. RNAcentral describes it as "partial 16S ribosomal RNA". It matches the Rfam family "Bacterial small subunit ribosomal RNA", at positions 524 to 776 of the family's 1533-position model. The record is from RNAcentral.
UACGUAGGGCCCGAGCGUUAUCCGGAAUCAUUGGGCGUAAAGAGCGUGUAGGUGUUCUGACAAGUCGGUCGUUAAAUCCCACAGCUCAACUGUGGGGCUGCGAGCGAAACUGUCAGAAUUGAGUAUUGCAGGGGCAAGUAGAAUUCCUGGAGUAGGGGUGAAAUCCGUUGAUACCAGGAGGAAUACCAAUGGCGAAGGCAGCUUGCUGGGCAAUUACUGACACUGAGUACGCGAAAGCGUGGGGAGCAAACGGG